Molecule: long non-coding RNA, 863 nt
Organism: Solanum pennellii
Lineage: Eukaryota; Viridiplantae; Streptophyta; Magnoliopsida; Solanales; Solanaceae
Exons: 2
Source: RefSeq, a predicted model, not a curated record
UCAUCUAUUUUCUAUAUCCUCUUAAGUCUCAAUCUUAAUUCUUAAGAUUUAAUUUUUAUCCCAUUUAAGUCUCAUAUUAUUAUAAUACAUAUAUUCUAAUUCUAAAUUUUCAUAUUUUAUCAUAAUAUAUAGAAAUCUCAUAUUUUCUAUCAAGGGUUGGAGUUUCAAAUUACAAGUUACAACUUACAACAAACUACAAGCUCCAAGAAUCGGUUUAACCUCUUCUAUUAACGCAGACGUUUGGUGAAGAAGUAAAAGUUGAUUCGGGAGAAGAGGAAUUAGAAGAUACACCUACUAGUCCGAUGACACAAGUUCCACAUGAAACAACAAAUUUAGCAGAGCAAAAUUAUGGAUGUCCACCCCUUAUACCUCCCACAAGGCAGAAGAUGAAGCAUCAACGCCCUAAAAUUUGUAUUGUAUGACAAUUUAUGACUUCCGAUAAGAAAAAUAAUGUUUCUAUUUGUAAUAAGUGUAAGCAACCUUUAUACAUAGACAAGGUUGGGAUCAAGGUGGGACGGGGGGCUUAAAUAAACAUUUGUUAUCUUGUGUGCCGAUUCAAUAUAAAGAAGCCAAAACAUUAACCCAUAGAAAAAAAGAAAUUCCAGUUAAUGAUUUUGAUAGUAGUGUUAAUGAACCGGUAGGGGCUUCUAAUUUGGUUCAAGGAACAUUAGAUCCUUCUAACCACGAUGGUCCACUAACACAACGUAAAUAUAAUAAGGAAAGAGAUCGUGAAAAUUUAGCUAAAAUGGUUUCUGUUUGUGGUUUGCCUUAUAGUUUUGCUUCAAAUUCGAUUUUAUUGAAUGUAUUCAAUAAACUUAUAAACUUAUACUGUUAAAUAUGAUGUUUUUGUAUAUCAAGGUAAA